This 567-nucleotide ribosomal RNA is filed under the name Triticum aestivum (bread wheat). Its description in RNAcentral is "partial small subunit ribosomal RNA". Lineage: Eukaryota; Viridiplantae; Streptophyta; Magnoliopsida; Poales; Poaceae. The record is from RNAcentral.
AUGGAGAGCCUGCGGGUGCACGCCGACGCGCUGCUCUCGCUGUCCUCGCCCGCCGCCUCGUCCACGGCGCCGGCGAGCAGCGGCAGCAUCAGCAAGCCGGUGACGGCGGCGACGACCGCGGCGGGCAGGAGGGCGCUGGCGGCGGAGGGCGUGUUCGAGUGCAAGACGUGCAGCAAGCGGUUCACGUCGUUCCAGGCGCUGGGCGGGCACCGCACCAGCCACACGCGGCUGCAGGCGCGGAUGCUGCUGCACGAUCAGGCCGCCGACGUCCCGGGCGCCGCCGAGAGGGACAGGGCGCGGGUGCACGAGUGCGCCGUCUGCGGGCUCGAGUUCUCCAUGGGCCAGGCGCUGGGCGGCCACAUGCGCCGGCACAGGGGCGAGGCGCCGCCGGGGCCGUCGACGUCGUCGGCUGCCGUGCACGGCGAAGCCAGCUCCGGCGCGACGCAGCAGCAGGAGGUCAUGCCCGACCUGAACUACCCGCCGAUGGACGACUGCGGCGGCGACGGGCAAGAAACGUCGGCCGAUCGCAGCUCCGGGCAUCAUCAGCUGCUUGAUCUGCUUGUGUAG